This 74-nucleotide transfer RNA is filed under the name Pseudomonadota bacterium. RNAcentral describes it as "tRNA-Asp". It matches the Rfam family "tRNA". Rfam says of the family: Transfer RNA (tRNA) molecules are approximately 80 nucleotides in length. Their secondary structure includes four short double-helical elements and three loops (D, anti-codon, and T loops). RNAcentral also lists the same sequence under 3 other names. The record is from RNAcentral. Lineage: Bacteria; Pseudomonadati; Pseudomonadota.
GGGGGCGUGGUGUAGCGGCCUAACAUACUGCCCUGUCAAGGCAGAGAUCGCGGGUUCAAAUCCCGUCGUCCCCG